CGCUUGUGGAGACGUCGCUGCCGUGAUCGU
RNAcentral lists this small nuclear RNA (30 nucleotides) under Arabidopsis thaliana (thale cress). Its description in RNAcentral is "snRNA_15936". Lineage: Eukaryota; Viridiplantae; Streptophyta; Magnoliopsida; Brassicales; Brassicaceae. The record is from RNAcentral.